UAUUGCCAAAAAAAAAAAUAAAUAAAAUUAAGUUAGAAGCACUUAAAAGAAUUUCAAGUUUAAAAAGCAAGUAAAAGACUGUUUAUUGCAAGUUGCUUGGAGUUUGUAAUACACGUAACAAAAACAGGAUAGAUUUUGCACUGUCUGAUAUUGGAAGAGUGUAGUAAAAUAUAUGUAUGUGUAUAGAAUGGUUUUCAUUGAAGUGAUAGACAAAUAAUUGACCAAAUUUCAAGAUCUCAAUCAAAUUGUCUUUAUAUUGACAUUAACAUCUUUUGGUUCAUACAGAAAUCUAAAAAGAUGAUCUUUUCCUUCCUACCUUAUGAGUCACGUGUUUUAUUACGGAAGUAGAUAUGAAUAUUGGGAUAACCAUGGUUAUUUCCAUCCUUUAAGCUCUUUGCUUUGGGUUUCACACACCUGACAGAGAAAAUGAGAGGGGACAAUUCAAGCAGGUGGCUCAUGUUAACCAUUAAUCUUUCCUGAGUAAGAAGCGGGAGGGUCUUGGGCUCUUAAAAAGCAACAUAGGCCUUAGUUUAGAACAUUCAUGAGAAGCAGGAGAGAAGGAAAAAGAUGAAGGUGGUGUAUUUUAAAGAAAAAGCUGUACUUGGUAAAAAGCAAAACCAACCAACCAAAAAGAUUAAUAUUAUGGGGCAGAAGUCCAGCUUAACAAGAGCUAUGUGUAGUCUGAGUUUUUUCUUCAUAGAAGGUAACACUUCAAUUCAUCAGACUAGUUUGUUUUGUGCUGUUUUCCUGAAUUCUUCUGUAUGGUGUGAGUUCUUGAAGAUGUUCUUUGUUCAUCUCGAACAGGGGUUCACAAGCCAGUGGGAUGACAUGAAAUGA
This 837-nucleotide long non-coding RNA is filed under the name Anser cygnoides (Swan goose). RNAcentral describes it as "lncRNA (ENSACDG00005006417.1)". Lineage: Eukaryota; Metazoa; Chordata; Aves; Anseriformes; Anatidae. The record is from RNAcentral.